Frieseomelitta varia is the source of this 6623-nucleotide long non-coding RNA. RefSeq lists it as uncharacterized. Lineage: Eukaryota; Metazoa; Arthropoda; Insecta; Hymenoptera; Apidae. The record is from RefSeq and is a predicted model, not a curated record. The transcript is spliced from 8 exons.
UUCUCAAUUUAAAAAGUUUAUAUUUAUUUAUAUUCUUGCGUUUAAAAAUUUACCUUAAUCUUAAAAAUAUGUGUGGUACAGUACUUCAAUUAAGAAAACUGUAUAUUUAGAAGUAACGAUCGUUAUCACGCUGGUCGUUUACGCGUAGAAUUACACGUAAAAUGAGACGGAUACGUGGGACUUUAAAUCUCUGGCGAAGAAAUCUGAGUAGCCCAACCGGAUUCUCGAUAACUGUCCGGCAGAUGAAAAGGGAAAAACCGAUUCGCCGACGAUCAACAAACACCCGUUAGAUUGUAAUGUUCGCCAAUCGACGACACUUGGCUCCGAUAAACUUUGUAUACGUGUCUUUCUCUCUCUGCAACUGAGAAGUCGCUAUGAUAAUUGAAUAUCACUAUCUACAUAACAAAAUAUGUACAAAAUAUGUACAAUUUCUAAAGGGCGAAUUAAAGUUAGGAACUUCCAAAUUAUCCACCGCAUCGACGUUGCGCCAAUACUUGCAGAACCAAAACAAAGGAUCCUAUCUAGACGACUUUGUUGUACCAUGACAAGACGUGUAUAACGUCCUGAACACGUAUAUAACGUAUAUAAUAAAUAUCGCGCCAGAAACAUCGAACAUUCGAAUGUAAAGGGAUCGGUGAAAUAAAGCAAGCGAGACCAGAUUACGAUCCUGACAGAGUCUAUAAGACAGAAGAUCCAAGAACAGAAGUAGAGUGAGGAGCUGUUACUGAAGCAUUAAUAAAAAGCCAGCGGGUUAUUGUUCGCCAAUAAAAGACUGACAGACGAUUACGCGAUUCAGCGUAGGCCCAACGCACGGUUCGAUUCGAGAAUCGAUAACGCGAAUUCUCGCCCACGCUUCCCUGCACUUUCCAUCUGCGUCGUGAGAAACCGCUUUAUUUAUACUCAGAAAGAGUUCUUUUUUUUCCAUCCCACGAGGAGCACGCGCAUUUAUGGCUGUAUUCUAAUAUGCGAGCGUAGGCGUCUGACUGCGCUUGCCAUUUGUACAUUCUGUUGAUGGAUAAAACGCAGAAAUAUUAUGAACUUAAUAUUGAUUUAUUUUGUUCUCAAUUCAGUUUCAAAAAGUAUUGAAGAAUUUGAUAUCUUUUUUGAAAGUAGUUGUAUAAUCACUGUAGAGUUGGAUUUUUGUAGAAUUAUUAUUAAUGGAAUUUUAUACUGAAUUCAAACAGCGCAGUGAUUUAAGAAUACGAAUCGAGCGAUUACGAAAGAGUUAUUCGCGCAGGCUUUAAGUAUGCACAGUGUGUGCACGCACGUGGUUCUCCAGGAUACCGGUCCGAGUAUCGUGAACUGUUACGCGGUCCGCAUUCAACAUUAACACACUCCCCAUUACGUAGGAUGAUAUUUAUCCGAGGCAUGACAUUCAGUGUCGAACAAUGACCGCAGAUAGUUAUUUAACAUUAAAACGAAGAUGAAUCACAAUCAGUGAUUCUUUGCUAAAACAUUGAGAAUUAAACCACGUUUUUCUUUUAGAAUCUGAAUGCAUGAAGGACACAUGGCUACUAACAUGAGAAGGAAAUUAAUUUAUAAAUUUCUUUGACAAUAUCAAAUUAAUCUAGGCCAUGACUAUUAAUCUUUCAAAAAGAUGAUUGAAAGAUAAUUUGUUAUAUUAUGUUUCGUAAGGCUGAUAUACUAUGAAAAUAAUGUCAGUAAAGUAUCGACAUGCAAACACUCCAGGCUAGAAAACAAGCUGAAAAGCUGGAUUAAAAACUUCUAUAACGAAAGUGUGUAACAUAGGACUGAGGUUGGAAAGAGCGAUUUCCAUAGCUUUUGCAACGGACCAACAAUAUGUAUAUCCCAGUCGCUUGGUGGCGAGCUGGUUGCCAGGCAGCGAGUUUCGUCCAGGUAAACCUCUCUUCUCGUUUCCUCUUUCACUCGCUUGCACCUUGUUGCCGAUACAAACGCCAUAUUACCAGUCUAUCGACGUUUGAUAUCGGUCGACUGGACUCAGCGGUGCGCAAACUCCCAUGAUACAGAGCUAAACUAGUUUCAGACACAGAAACUCUGGUUGAAGAAUAUCGCAGACGUUGCCUGUUUUAUCAGCAACUAUGUUACAUAACUUAUUUCGGGGAUAUCAUACUUCAAAAUAAAUAAAUCUAUGAUAAUUUGAAGUUAAGAUGGAGAAUUAUUCUUUAUUAUCAUGAAGAUCAUUUCAACAGACAUGAGAGAUGAAAAAAAAAUUUCUUUCCAAUUUCUGCUGAUUGAUUUCAAAGUCACAACUGACGUGGCUUUUUGAUAUGGUCGACGUGGCUAUUUUAUGAAACUAAGAAGGGAAAAGCGUUUCUGUUGCAUAAUCGGAUCUUCCUAGCAAAUUUUUGUCAUGUAAUUAUAAAUCCAAAAACCUAAUGUUUAGUGACUAGCUCAGGUUUAUUUGGUACUAUCAGAUUUAAACAAGCUAUGAAUCUACCUUUUAUACAAUAUUUUUUUCUUAUUUUUCCCCAGACAAAAAAAGUGUUAACUUGAAACAAUCAAUACAAGGAAAAUAUAUUGCCACAACUGUGUUCUCUGUGUUACAAAAUAAGCGGCGAUUCCGGUUCGACCGCUGUUCAUUAAUACGCAUUGCUUGUAAAUUAUCACCGGGAAUGAUACGAGGUUGCGCACCACUGAUUUAAUGGAUGACUCUACCGGCCUGGUGUGGUAAUCACGGUGAAAAAUCUUUCGUUCGAACGGCCCUCAGUUCGGUCCUCAGUCAUUUUGUCGUCAACAACACGCCGUUGCUCGUCUGCCCUUUAAUUACCACGGGAUCUCGAAAAAUCCACGCGAAAACUGCUCCUGUGAAAAACCAUGGCGCUGCCUGGUUCAACGACCUUGCAUAGCUGAAUGCUAUGGUUGAAUGGCGUAAAAUAAUUGAACGAGAUUCGGUGGAAGAUUCCCGAUUAUUUCUGUGGAAAUCAUACAGUUGAAUAACAGACGGACAUUUAUGCAAAUUUGUCUUGUUAUGAAUGUAAUUAAGACAAAAAGAGAUGGGCAUUUGUUUUGAUAAUGUUUAAAUAUUGUUGUAGGCAUGCAGGUAUUGCAGAACGAAGACCACAGGAAUUUAUAAAAGAAGAAAAAAAAAACAUAAUAGGAACUUGUAGAAAAUUUAUUUCAAUUAUAGUGUAUCCACUUGACCCAAUAAAAAUCGAACAAUAAUUCAAUCUUAAUAAGUAAUUCCACUGAGGCACAUUGAUACUAAAAAUGUUCUUGGUAAAUGCAUAAAAAUUCACUGUCUAAUAAUAGCCAGGAAAAAUUUCUAGAAUAUUCUUUCACAACAUAAUCAAGCGGUUAUACAAUAGUUGUGGAAUAAUCUUGAUAAACGUCAGACAUCUGAUCUGAUAAGUGUAAUUUACAGUUUUUUUGAAAGCUUGGCAUGAAAUAUGGGAUAAAAUCAAAGAAGAAAAAUCGUAAAACUUGUUAAUGGUGGUAAUUAAGGUGUUCGGUGAGGAAGUUCUGACAUGAUUACAUGAACAAGGAUGAUAAUUGCUUAGGUACUGAUAUUUCUAAUGAAGAUAAUGUUUCACGGAUCGUUGUUGCCACUGCACUUUCUGAAUUAUUUUCUUUCUUUCCAUAUUUUUUGGAGUAACAAGUUUGCCUCGUCAUGCGCCAUCAUGUAUGAUUUUCAGGCCAACCGCUAUUUGGGAACCGACAGACGUUCUGAAACAAAGGUUCAGAGGCUGGCUAUCAGCAUACGAAAUAACGCUACAAUGUACCGUAAGUCUUCACGCAUGGUGGAUCGAAACGAACAGAAGAGGAGGAACAGGCAACAACACCACACGCGAUCGAUUGGUGGCUCGUUACAGAGAGCCUGGUUGAAAGUUCGAACGAGGUCCGUGCAUUAAUAUUUCCGUUAUUGCGCGCACGAGCACCGAGGUUAUGCCUUUCACACAGCCAAGUAAUAAUACGGAAAGUGAUCGUUCCUCUCCCAGUUGGCUGAUCGAUCACGAUACGGAUUUUAACGAGCCUUCAUCCGAUUAACGCUCCACUGAUCACGCAAACCUUACCUCAGCACAUUUUGUUAACUUUUUUAUGCUAUUACAUUAAGCGGAAGAUCAUACACAGCGUUAACAGAGAUUUAAUGGAUUAAACAAGCUCACACGCAUGUUAUUUUAAUUACAAACCGGGAUACAUCUCUAAAAUGAAAGAUAAAAUAGGCGUGAGAGAUUUGAGAGUGUUAAUGGAAUUAAAUUAUGACACGACUAAUUAGUGAUCAAUUUAAAUGGUAUUUCCACCAGGAGACAAUAAUAGAGCAAUUAAUGGUGGAGUAAUUAUCAUCUAAAUAUGGAGAUUCUGGGAUCACCAACGUUUCAUAAUACUGCUGGAUCUACUUAAUCUUGGCUUUCCUUUUCAAGAACUUGUCAAUCCACUCUUGAUAUGGUAUAAAUUACUAUUAGCUUCUGUUCUUAGAAUCCGGGAGAUAUCAUCGACUCGUAAAUCCUAUAACUAGAGACUCAUAAAAAAAAGAGUUCUCUUCAACUACUUGAAGCUACUCAAAGUGAUGCAAAAUUUUGACUAGGAUAACUUCAAUUAUGGGUAUUUCUAAAUUAUCAUAACAAAGAUUCUAGCACCUGCCCUCUGUUCAAAAUUUCAUUUAGCAUUUAAUCUUGCAAUUAAAUUGCAAAUAAUUGGAAAUUGUCAGAUCAAAGAUCAUCAAGCACCAAAGUAUCUACGAAUCUCAAAACUAAGUUCCAUAGAUCACAGAUAGAUCCUUAAUCCCAAAUGGUCACGUGUACACCACUGUUUACUCAUUUUCACAAAAACGUAUUGGGCAACAGUGAAGAAAUAAAAUGGAUAACCAAAGGGGAGGAGAACGUUUGAACACGUUCGCAGAGUAUCCGUACAAGUCUAUGGCCGCGACGCGACUAAACGUUGAUCCAGGACUUUCACUUUGAGAUCCAGUCGGCCCUCUGUCCCUUCUCGAGCCGAUUAUUCGCAGCACGCCCACGCUCGCCAGCUCUGAAUCACGAUCGAAUUGUUCUUACAUGGAUAAUACCAUUCCCUGGCUGGACAGAGUGGUUCUCUGUUGAUACGUAGACGGAUUUAUACCGGGAACUAAAACUUAACACGGUUCAUCGUCCAGUUCAGAGUUAGAAAAUAAAUGAUAUGCAAGAAUAUGACAAGAAAUUGGCAGUGAGAAGAGUAUAAUUGGAAUAAUCAGAAGACUUUUGCUUAAAGUUUGCAUAUAUAAUAUACUACUGAUAAUAAAAAAGCAGAACGAGAAUUGAACUCGUGAGAUAUUUUAGAUAUAAUGUACCUAAAAUUAUAAAGAGUUUAUAUUAUUUAAUUAAAAGAUUGUAAAAAAAAAGCUAAACCUAGUAGUUUGAAAAUAAAAUAAAUUAAGCUUUAGGAGUUGAGUACAAAAUAUUCAGAUGAUUGAGAUUUUUCUAGGUUUCUUUCUAAGAAUAACUAAAUAAAAUAAAAUUCACUGACAGAAUUCUCUGAUACCUGGCUCUAGAAAGAAUAAUUGAAUUGACGCAGGAUCGUUAAUUAAAAUUUACAAUGGCGAAGUGAAGUUUGAAGCUAACUGUACAGUAAAUGGGUGCAAGAACAAAGGAGGAUUUCAUGAAUAAUAACUGUAAAUAAUGGACAUCAGUGAACUAGUAAAUAAAGUUUGAAAGAAGUAUGAAAAAACGAGUGAAAGAAAUUUGAUGAGUAAGGGUGCCACGAACGGAAAAGUGAAUGAACUUCGCGUGUCAGCAACACCAGAAACCGCUCAAAGUUUGCUAUCGUAGUUCGUUGAACGAGGAACGGCUGAGGAAGACGAAAAGAAGUCAGCGCUUACGUAAACGCGCUUUCGUUUGUUUUUGAAAUAUGCAUCGACUCGAUCCUGAUUCAACACGGAAGAGCAUGUGGCACCACUGCGAUCCGUGCUCGCUGAUAAUCAAACAUUACUCCGGGGUGAAAGGUGAACCCUCUCCCUUCUCCUCGAGAUCGUACCAACAGGAGGAUCCGCGACUAUACUUGUAGGAGAGCCCGAUUGCCACACUCUGGCUCUCCCUGUUUUCUACCUUGUUCUUGGAGACGAAUCCUCGGAUGAUGUGAUUCACUAGACUGCUAACGGGUUACUCCAAAAUGCUACCAAUUGUAUUGUAGAAUGAUCUAAAUAGUUAAAAGUACAAAAGUUAAAAAAGCACAGUAGAAGCGUUUAUAUUUUGUGAAAGAUUGGAUUCUGAUCAAUUUUGAGUAAUUCAAUCUACACUGAUCAACAAGAAUUAUGUUAAUUAACUGAUGGAAGGAUAUUUGCUCCAAGAAAAUAACACAGCGAUUGUCCUUAUCCUCAAAAGAGCAGAUUUCGUCAGCAAAUGGAAUAAGGCCAAGGAAAAUGAGAGCUCCACGAACAAAAGAAAUCAUCCGCUUACUGGAAUCAUCCAUAUCUAAUCUUAAUCAUUAUUCUACUCGCGUAUGUUUAUUAUUUUCCCGUGUCCUCGCCGCGUAUUACCAACACGAAAGUGACAUCAUAUUCUGUUCACAAACCAGUUCUCAUUGACUUUAAUACCAGUUCUCUAUAGUGAAUCUUUAGAGAUGGUCGCCAGGUGGGGUCAUGACCUCACAAUGCUUCUACAGCCACGUGUCCUCUGAUCCUCUGAGUUCAGACACACUUCAGAAAUUGCAGAGGAAAGAAUAUCAAGUCUUUU